AGUGAACGCUGGCGGUAGGCCUAACACAUGCAAGUCGAACGGCAGCACAGUAAGAGCUUGCUCUUACGGGUGGCGAGUGGCGGACGGGUGAGGAAUACAUCGGAAUCUACUUUUUCGUGGGGGAUAACGUAGGGAAACUUACGCUAAUACCGCAUACGACCUACGGGUGAAAGCAGGGGAUCUUCGGACCUUGCGCGAUUGAAUGAGCCGAUGUCGGAUUAGCUAGUUGGCGGGGUAAAGGCCCACCAAGGCGACGAUCCGUAGCUGGUCUGAGAGGAUGAUCAGCCACACUGGAACUGAGACACGGUCCAGACUCCUACGGGAGGCAGCAGUGGGGAAUAUUGGACAAUGGGCGAAAGCCUGAUCCAGCCAUACCGCGUGGGUGAAGAAGGCCUUCGGGUUGUAAAGCCCUUUUGUUGGGAAAGAAAAGCAGAAGGUUAAUACCCCGCUGUUCUGACGGUACCCAAAGAAUAAGCACCGGCUAACUUCGUG
Molecule: ribosomal RNA, 492 nt
Filed under: uncultured bacterium
Lineage: Bacteria
Description: partial 16S ribosomal RNA
Rfam family: Bacterial small subunit ribosomal RNA
Source: RNAcentral